RNAcentral lists this ribosomal RNA (447 nucleotides) under uncultured Streptomycetaceae bacterium. Its description in RNAcentral is "bacterial SSU rRNA". It matches the Rfam family "Bacterial small subunit ribosomal RNA", at positions 338 to 797 of the family's 1533-position model. Lineage: Bacteria; Bacillati; Actinomycetota; Actinomycetes; Kitasatosporales; Streptomycetaceae. The record is from RNAcentral.
CCUACGGGUGGCUGCAGUGGGGAAUAUUGCGCAAUGGGCGAAAGCCUGACGCAGCGACGCCGCGUGAGGGACGACGGCCUUCGGGUUGUAAACCUCUUUCAGCAGGGACGAAGCGAAAGUGACGGUACCUGCAGAAGAAGCACCGGCCAACUACGUGCCAGCAGCCGCGGUAAUACGUAGGGUGCAAGCGUUGUCCGGAAUUAUUGGGCGUAAAGAGCUCGUAGGCGGUCUGUCACGUCGGAUGUGAAAACUCGGGGCUCAACCCCGAGCCUGCAUUCGAUACGGGCAGACUUGAGUUCGGCAGGGGAGACUGGAAUUCCUGGUGUAGCGGUGAAAUGCGCAGAUAUCAGGAGGAACACCGGUGGCGAAGGCGGGUCUCUGGGCCGAUACUGACGCUGAGGAGCGAAAGCGUGGGGAGCGAACAGGAUUAGAUACCCGAGUAGUCCA